This 2891-nucleotide ribosomal RNA is filed under the name Pseudomonas sp. B21-012. RNAcentral's name for it is "23S ribosomal RNA". It matches the Rfam family "Bacterial large subunit ribosomal RNA". The record is from RNAcentral. Lineage: Bacteria; Pseudomonadati; Pseudomonadota; Gammaproteobacteria; Pseudomonadales; Pseudomonadaceae.
GGUCAAGUGAAGAAGCGCAUACGGUGGAUGCCUUGGCAGUCAGAGGCGAUGAAAGACGUGGUAGCCUGCGAUAAGCUUCGGGGAGUCGGCAAACAGACUUUGAUCCGGAGAUCUCUGAAUGGGGGAACCCACUCAGCAUAAGCUGAGUAUCUUGUACUGAAUACAUAGGUGCAAGAGGCGAACCAGGGGAACUGAAACAUCUAAGUACCCUGAGGAAAAGAAAUCAACCGAGAUUCCCUUAGUAGUGGCGAGCGAACGGGGACUAGCCCUUAAGUGGCUUUGAGAUUAGCGGAACGCUCUGGAAAGUGCGGCCAUAGUGGGUGAUAGCCCUGUACGCGAAAAUCUCUUAGUCAUGAAAUCGAGUAGGACGGAGCACGAGAAACUUUGUCUGAAUAUGGGGGGACCAUCCUCCAAGGCUAAAUACUACUGACUGACCGAUAGUGAACCAGUACCGUGAGGGAAAGGCGAAAAGAACCCCGGAGAGGGGAGUGAAAUAGAUCCUGAAACCGUAUGCGUACAAGCAGUGGGAGCCUACUUUGUUAGGUGACUGCGUACCUUUUGUAUAAUGGGUCAGCGACUUAUAUUCAGUGGCGAGCUUAACCGAAUAGGGGAGGCGUAGCGAAAGCGAGUCUUAAUAGGGCGUUUAGUCGCUGGGUAUAGACCCGAAACCGGGCGAUCUAUCCAUGGGCAGGUUGAAGGUUAGGUAACACUGACUGGAGGACCGAACCGACUACCGUUGAAAAGUUAGCGGAUGACCUGUGGAUCGGAGUGAAAGGCUAAUCAAGCUCGGAGAUAGCUGGUUCUCCUCGAAAGCUAUUUAGGUAGCGCCUCAUGUAUCACUGUAGGGGGUAGAGCACUGUUUCGGCUAGGGGGUCAUCCCGACUUACCAAACCGAUGCAAACUCCGAAUACCUACAAGUGCCGAGCAUGGGAGACACACGGCGGGUGCUAACGUCCGUCGUGAAAAGGGAAACAACCCAGACCGUCAGCUAAGGUCCCAAAGUUAUGGUUAAGUGGGAAACGAUGUGGGAAGGCUUAGACAGCUAGGAGGUUGGCUUAGAAGCAGCCACCCUUUAAAGAAAGCGUAAUAGCUCACUAGUCGAGUCGGCCUGCGCGGAAGAUGUAACGGGGCUCAAACCAUACACCGAAGCUACGGGUAUCACUUAGGUGAUGCGGUAGAGGAGCGUUCUGUAAGCCUGUGAAGGUGAGUUGAGAAGCUUGCUGGAGGUAUCAGAAGUGCGAAUGCUGACAUGAGUAACGACAAUGGGAGUGAAAAACUCCCACGCCGAAAGACCAAGGUUUCCUGCGCAACGUUAAUCGACGCAGGGUUAGUCGGUCCCUAAGGCGAGGCUGAAAAGCGUAGUCGAUGGAAAACAGGUUAAUAUUCCUGUACUUCUGGUUAUUGCGAUGGAGGGACGGAGAAGGCUAGGCCAGCUUGGCGUUGGUUGUCCAAGUUUAAGGUGGUAGGCUGAGAUCUUAGGUAAAUCCGGGAUCUUAAGGCCGAGAGCUGAUGAUGAGUUGCCAUUAGGCGACGAAGUGGUUGAUGCCAUGCUUCCAAGAAAAGCUUCUAAGCUUCAGAUAACCAGGAACCGUACCCCAAACCGACACAGGUGGUUGGGUAGAGAAUACCAAGGCGCUUGAGAGAACUCGGGUGAAGGAACUAGGCAAAAUGGCACCGUAACUUCGGGAGAAGGUGCGCCGGUGAGGGUGAAGGACUUGCUCCGUAAGCCCAUGCCGGUCGAAGAUACCAGGCCGCUGCGACUGUUUAUUAAAAACACAGCACUCUGCAAACACGAAAGUGGACGUAUAGGGUGUGACGCCUGCCCGGUGCCGGAAGGUUAAUUGAUGGGGUUAGCUAACGCGAAGCUCUUGAUCGAAGCCCCGGUAAACGGCGGCCGUAACUAUAACGGUCCUAAGGUAGCGAAAUUCCUUGUCGGGUAAGUUCCGACCUGCACGAAUGGCGUAACGAUGGCGGCGCUGUCUCCACCCGAGACUCAGUGAAAUUGAAAUCGCUGUGAAGAUGCAGUGUAUCCGCGGCUAGACGGAAAGACCCCGUGAACCUUUACUAUAGCUUUGCACUGGACUUUGAAUUUGCUUGUGUAGGAUAGGUGGGAGGCUUUGAAGCGUGGACGCCAGUUCGCGUGGAGCCAUCCUUGAAAUACCACCCUGGCAACUUUGAGGUUCUAACUCAGGUCCGUUAUCCGGAUCGAGGACAGUGUAUGGUGGGUAGUUUGACUGGGGCGGUCUCCUCCUAAAGAGUAACGGAGGAGUACGAAGGUGCGCUCAGACCGGUCGGAAAUCGGUCGUAGAGUAUAAAGGCAAAAGCGCGCUUGACUGCGAGACAGACACGUCGAGCAGGUACGAAAGUAGGUCUUAGUGAUCCGGUGGUUCUGUAUGGAAGGGCCAUCGCUCAACGGAUAAAAGGUACUCCGGGGAUAACAGGCUGAUACCGCCCAAGAGUUCAUAUCGACGGCGGUGUUUGGCACCUCGAUGUCGGCUCAUCACAUCCUGGGGCUGAAGCCGGUCCCAAGGGUAUGGCUGUUCGCCAUUUAAAGUGGUACGCGAGCUGGGUUUAGAACGUCGUGAGACAGUUCGGUCCCUAUCUGCCGUGGACGUUUGAGAUUUGAGAGGGGCUGCUCCUAGUACGAGAGGACCGGAGUGGACGAACCUCUGGUGUUCCGGUUGUCACGCCAGUGGCAUUGCCGGGUAGCUAUGUUCGGAAGAGAUAACCGCUGAAAGCAUCUAAGCGGGAAACUUGCCUCAAGAUGAGAUCUCACUGGAGCCUUGAGCUCCCUGAAGGGCCGUCGAAGACUACGACGUUGAUAGGUUGGGUGUGUAAGCGCUGUGAGGCGUUGAGCUAACCAAUACUAAUUGCCCGUGAGGCUUGACCAU